AGUUUGAUUAUGGCUCAAGAUUGAACGCUGGCGGGAUGCUUUACAUGCAAGUCGAACGGCAGCACGGACUUCGGUCUGGUGGCGAGUGGCGAACGGGUGAGUAAUGUAUCGGAACGUGCCUGGUAGCGGGGAUAACUACGCGAAAGCGUAGCUAAUACCGCAUAUACGCCCUUCGGGGAAAGCGGGGGACCUUCGGGCCUCGCACUAUUAGAGCGGCCGAUAUCGGAUUAGCUAGUUGGUGGGAAGUAACGGCUCACCAAGCGGUGAUCCGUAGCUGGUUUGAGAGGACGACCAGCCACACCAGGACUGAGACACGGCCAGACUCCUACGGGAGGCAGCAGUGGGGAAUUUUGGACAAUGGGGGAAACCUGAUCCAGCCAUCCCGCGUGUGCGAUGAAGGCCUUCGGGUUGUAAAGCACUUUUGGCAGGAAAACGGCUGCGGGAUAUUACCCCGUGCAACUGACGGUACCUGCAGAAUAAGCACCGGCUAACUACGUGCCAGCAGCCGCGGUAAUACGUAGGGUGCAAGCGUUAAUCGGAAUUACUGGGCGUAAAGCGUGCGCAGGCGGUUCCGGAAAGAAGAUGUGAAAUCCCAGAGCUUAACUUUGGAACUGCAUUUUUAACUACCGAGCUAGAGUGUGUCAGAGGGAGGUGGAAUUCCGCGUGUAGCAGUGAAAUGCGUAGAUAUGCGGAGGAACACCGAUGGCGAAGGCAGCCUCCUGGGAUAACACUGACGCUCAUGCACGAAAGCGUGGGGAGCAAACAGGAUUAGGUACCCUGAAGUCCACGCCCUAAACGAUGUCAACUAGCUGUUGGGGCCUUCGGGCCUUGGUAGCGCAACUAACGCGUGAAGUUGACAUCGUUUAGGGACGAUGGACUACCGGGUAUCUGUCCUGACCUUCCCACGCUCGUGCAUGAGAAGCGUCAGUGUUAUCCCAGGUUCGCCAUCGGUCUCACUCCGCAUAUCUACGCAUUUCACUGCUACACGCGAAUUCCACCUCCCUCUA
RNAcentral lists this unclassified non-coding RNA (1007 nucleotides) under uncultured Bordetella sp. RNAcentral's name for it is "partial 16S-23S ribosomal RNA intergenic spacer". The stretch from base 1 to 864 matches the Rfam family "Bacterial small subunit ribosomal RNA", at positions 10 to 873 of the family's 1533-position model. The record is from RNAcentral. Lineage: Bacteria; Pseudomonadati; Pseudomonadota; Betaproteobacteria; Burkholderiales; Alcaligenaceae.